GGGACAGAGGCGGCGCUGCCCUUGAGGUCAGGCCCACAGCCGCUGCUCCCUCGUCUCCAGAUCGGCAGAACUGUCGCCGUGAGAGGCUUAAGACCUGGUUCCUCGAGACCCGUCUUGGUCCCCACUCGGCCGUCCGUGUUUAAAGCGAGCCUUUCUGUGCUUCGACAAAUUUAUGCUCUCGUGAAACAACACUGUAAUUAACCUGUGUUGAACCGGCAUCAUUACGGAGAAAGUGAAGAAAUGCACAGAGACUAAAUACGAAGUGCUACAGCUCUGCCAUCCAGACAUCACCCUUGAAAGAAGUUCAAGGAAAUCCAACCAAAUGGGGAGAUAUACCAUGCUCGUGGAUCAGAAAACUUCAUAUUGUUUAAAUGUCCAUUUUCCCCCAACUGAUGUCUAGAUUAAAGGCAUUCAAAAUCAAA
This is a long non-coding RNA of Carlito syrichta (Philippine tarsier), 422 nucleotides long. RefSeq lists it as uncharacterized. Lineage: Eukaryota; Metazoa; Chordata; Mammalia; Primates; Tarsiidae. The transcript has 2 exons. The record is from RefSeq and is a predicted model, not a curated record.